This 975-nucleotide ribosomal RNA is filed under the name Fuscospina nigrescens. Its description in RNAcentral is "Lycoperdon nigrescens partial large subunit ribosomal RNA". It matches the Rfam family "Eukaryotic large subunit ribosomal RNA", at positions 34 to 986 of the family's 3401-position model. Lineage: Eukaryota; Fungi; Basidiomycota; Agaricomycetes; Agaricales; Lycoperdaceae. The record is from RNAcentral.
CUACAUAUCAAUAAGCGGAGGAAAAUAAACUAACAAGGAUUCCCCCUAGUAACUGCGAGUGAAGCGGGAAAAGCUCAAAUUUAAAAUCUGGCAGUCUCUGGCUGUCCGAGUUGUAAUCUAGAGAAGUGAUGCCCGCGCUGGACCGUGUACAAGUCUCCUGGAAUGGAGCGUCAUAGAGGGUGAGAAUCCCGUCUCUGACACGGACUACCAGGGCUUUGUGGUAUCCUCUCAAAGAGUCGAGUUGUUUGGGAAUGCAGCUCUAAAUGGGUGGUAAAUUCCAUCUAAAGCUAAAUAUUGGCGAGAGACCGAUAGCGAACAAGUACCGUGAGGGAAAGAUGAAAAGAACUUUGGAAAGAGAGUUAAACAGUACGUGAAAUUGCUGAAAGGGAAACGCUUGAAGUCAGUCGCGUUAGCUGGGAAUCAGCCUCGCUCUUGCGUGGUGUACUUUCUGGUUGACGGGUCAGCAUCAAUUUUGACUGCUGGAAAAAGGCUUAGGGAAUGUGGCAGCUUCGGCUGUGUUAUAGCCCUUGGUCACAUACAGCGGUUGGGAUUGAGGAACUCAGUACGCCGCAAGGCCGGGUUUCGACCACGUUCGUACUUAGGAUGCUGGCAUAAUGGCUUUAAGCGACCCGUCUUGAAACACGGACCAAGGAGUCUAACAUGCCUGCGAGUGUUUGGGUGGUAAACCCGAGCGCGUAAUGAAAGUGAAAGUUGAGAUCCUUGUCGUAGGGAGCAUCGACGCCCGGACUUGAACUUUUGUGACGGAUCCGCGGUAGAGCAUGUAUGUUGGGACCCGAAAGAUGGUGAACUAUGCCUGAAUAGGGUGAAGCCAGAGGAAACUUCUGGUGGAGGCUCGUAGCGAUUCUGACGUGCAAAUCGAUCGUCAAAUUUGGGUAUAGGGGCGAAAGACUAAUCGAACCAUUCUAGUACCUUGUUCCUGGCAGCUUCCUUCUCUGUCAUCAAGAGAGAGAAGAA